GACGAACGCUGGCGGCGUGCCUAAUACAUGCAAGUAGAGCGCUGAAGGAGGAGCUUGCUUCUCUGGAUGAGUUGCGAACGGGUGAGUAACGCGUAGGUAACCUGCCUGGUAGCGGGGGAUAACUAUUGGAAACGAUAGCUAAUACCGCAUAAGAGUAGAUGUUGCAUGACAUUUGCUUAAAAGGUGCAAUUGCAUCACUACCAGAUGGACCUGCGUUGUAUUAGCUAGUUGGUGAGGUAACGGCUCACCAAGGCGACGAUACAUAGCCGACCUGAGAGGGUGAUCGGCCACACUGGGACUGAGACACGGCCCAGACUCCUACGGGAGGCAGCAGUAGGGAAUCUUCGGCAAGGGACGGAAGUCUGACCGAGCAACGCCGCGGGAGUGAAGAAGGUUUUCGGAUCGUAAAGCUCUGUUGUAAGAGAAGAACGAGUGUGAGAGUGGUAAGUUCACACUGUGACGGUAUCUUUCCAGAAAGGGACGGCUAACUACGUG
This 495-nucleotide ribosomal RNA is filed under the name uncultured bacterium. RNAcentral's name for it is "partial 16S ribosomal RNA". It matches the Rfam family "Bacterial small subunit ribosomal RNA", at positions 28 to 507 of the family's 1533-position model. The record is from RNAcentral.